AAUGAACGUUGGCGGCGUGGAUUAGGCAUGCAAGUCGAGCGAGAAUCGUAGCAAUACGAGGACAGCGGCGAAAGGGAGAGGAAUACGUAGAAAUCUACCCCUGAGACCGGGAUAGCGUCGGGAAACUGGCAGUAAUACCGGAUAAUGUCUUAGGACCAAAGGUGUGAUUCCACUUGGGGAUGAGUCUACGCCCUAUUAGCUAGUUGGUGGGGUAAUGGCCUACCAAGGCGAUGAUGGGUAGCGGGUGUGAGAGCAUGACCCGCCUCACUGGGACUGAGAACUGCCCAGACACCUACGGGUGGCUGCAGUCGAGAAUCUUUGUCAAUGGACGAAAGUCUGAACAAGCGACGCCGCGUGCGGGAUGAAGGCCUUCGGGUUGUAAACCGCUGUCGUAGGGGAACAAAUGUACGGGGGUACUCCCCUGUAUUUGAGUGAUCCUAGGAGGAAGGAGAGGCUAAGCUCGUGCCAGCCGCCGCGGUAA
RNAcentral lists this ribosomal RNA (481 nucleotides) under uncultured bacterium. RNAcentral describes it as "partial 16S ribosomal RNA". It matches the Rfam family "Bacterial small subunit ribosomal RNA", at positions 29 to 523 of the family's 1533-position model. The record is from RNAcentral.